This 30-nucleotide non-coding RNA is filed under the name Mus musculus (house mouse). The record is from RNAcentral. Lineage: Eukaryota; Metazoa; Chordata; Mammalia; Rodentia; Muridae.
UCACAGACUCUGGUCACAACUGCCGACUGU